Molecule: ribosomal RNA, 119 nt
Filed under: Triticum aestivum (bread wheat)
Lineage: Eukaryota; Viridiplantae; Streptophyta; Magnoliopsida; Poales; Poaceae
Source: RNAcentral
GGAUGCGAUCAUACCAGCACUAAAACACCGGAUCCCAUCAGAACUCCGAAGUUAAGCAUGCUUGGGCGAGAGUAGUACUAGGAUGGGUGACCUCCUGGGAAGUCCUCGUGUUGCAUUCC